AUCCGACUGACGAGUCCCAAAUAGCACGAGACGCGCGUCCUGGCAU
Molecule: non-coding RNA, 46 nt
Organism: Schistosoma mansoni
Lineage: Eukaryota; Metazoa; Platyhelminthes; Trematoda; Strigeidida; Schistosomatidae
Source: Rfam